This is a long non-coding RNA of Oncorhynchus tshawytscha (Chinook salmon), 2318 nucleotides long. Lineage: Eukaryota; Metazoa; Chordata; Actinopteri; Salmoniformes; Salmonidae. The record is from Ensembl.
CUCACCUACUUUAAAUCACAUUUGACAUACUUUGCCCAUGCUUAGUAUCUUUUUUGUAUCCUUUUCAAUCCAACUGAUCCCUGUCUUGUUUCUACCAUCCUCUAGGCCUCGUGUUCUUUCCUUGCACAAGAGGUUGGUACGGAAGUGGAAUUCUGCUCAAAGGUAUUGUGAAAUUAUGUUAAGUGGAACUGUGAAAUUAUGUAGGUGUCGAUAAUGAAAAUAUUAGAUUAGUCUGGUCGUUUAUACUAAAUGUCGGAUCUGAUUUAUUUUUAAUUGUAUGGACACAUUUUCCCCUGCUUAGUAGACCCUUUAUAAUUAAACUUGUCUCCAUCCUAUUUCUCCCAUCUCUUCCCCUCUAGGCCAAUUUAAAGGCAAUGCUACCAAAUACUAAUUGAGUGUACGUAAACUUCUGACCCACUGGGAAUGUGAUGAAGGAAGUAAAAGCUGAAAUAUAUCAUUCUCUUAACUAUUAUUCUGACAUUUCACAUUCUUAAAAUAAAAUGGUGAUCCUAGCUGACCGAAAACAGUUUUUUUUAUUACUAGGAUUAAAUGUCAGGAAUUGUGAAACUGAGUUUAAAUAUAUUUGGCUAAGGUGUAUGUAAACUUCUGACUUCAACUGUACAUAUCAUAGAAAUACUUGGAGAUAGCACUACGGGACCAUGGAUUGUGCUGUUGUGAGCUUAUUGGUCAUGCUCCUGGCUGGGGUGUGGCAUAGUGUUUCUCCUUCUGAAGCCACAUUGGUUGAGUGUGGCACUGGGAAGACUUGUACUGUGGCCUUACUCAGCCUUAACCCUGCCACUCUGGUCUGCCCUGGUUCCUCCCUACACCCUUUGAUCAAGUGGACCAUCCAGGGAAUCUUGGACACAGGCUACAGCUCAUCUCCAAUAGUGAUCCAGACCAGUAGAGCCCCCACCAGUCUGCUGAAGGCUGACACCACCAACUGUGAAAGAGUGAAUCUCCCCUAGUGUUACCUUCUGUGGACUUGGAGUACUCCGAAACCAACAGGCAAAGGUUUGGCUUGGGUCUGCAGAGAGCUCCAAGCAGGCAAAGAAGGAAUAUCAAUCUAUGGAGAGCUCUGUAACUAUACUCCAAUAUCCAAUACAGAGCUCUGGUCAGGAUAGAACCAGGGGGUGUACAGGUUUUUCAAUCAUCCCUUAUGGUGGCCAGCCAGACUCGCCCUCAGGCUCCUGCCUCCGCCGCCUUUGAGACACAGGACUUACCUCGCAUCUAAACUCAGCAUGCUCGCCAGUGAACCUCCUGCCUCUUUCUGCCCAUGUGCAACCCUUAACCUCUGACCACAUCAGACCAGCGACCCUCUGGCACAGUUUUCGACUGAUAAUGACCUCCAGUCACGCCUCAGAGGUGGAGAGCAUAACCUUGUCUUCACUGACACCUGGGUCUGGACUCUAUACCUGCCAGGUGCGGGAUGUGACCCUGGCUCAGUUUGAGGUGCAGGAUGUUUAGUGAAGUGCAGAUAUCACACGCAUCCCACCAUGGGCAAUUGCCCAGGGAAAACUUAAGUGAGGCUGGGGGAGGUGUUCACAGUAUGGGGUGCGUGGCAGGGUUGAAAUUGCUGUGGGAAACAGAGAGAGGAAGAGGAUUGGGUGAGUGUAGUUACAUUGGAGACAUAUCCUUACUUAUAUUUAAGCAACAUUUUCACACUGUGUCCCAUUGCCUGCCAUCAAUGCAUAACAAAGUGAAAGUUUGACCUGUGUGAGUAGAUUUGCCUCAGAGGCAAGAGCAGCAAACUACUACAGGUUUAAGUUUUUCUAUCUGUAACAGUGAGAGGUGUGGUGUCAUUACAGCCACUAGAAGUGCUGUUUCAUAACUUCCUUUGUUCUACUUAGGUUGUGCUAUGCACAGGUCCUCAAUGUGAGCACAGGAGAGGGGAUCCCGGGUGCGGCCCUUGGGUCUGGGGUGGUUCAGAGAUUACUAGAGAAAUUACAAGGUUUCUCCAUUGUCCUGGGCCAAGAGGUCAUCAUAGAAACAUGUUGCCAGGACUGUCCGACCUCUUGUCUGCAUGACUAGGAUGACAUUCCACUCCGCGGAUCCUCCAUCGGUCACUCCUGAAGCCUGUUGACAUCACAGCCUCCUUGGAUACUGUGCUACUGUGUCCCUCUGUCUCUGUGUACAGCCCUGUAUACUGGGAAUGAGAUGCACUGCCUCUAACCCAGCUGGACCUUCUCCAGAAGAACAGCUCCCACUCUCUGGAUCUCUCACGGGAGAAACGGCUACCUCAUCCACCAGGCCUCUCUGUCUGACUCGAGUCUACCGCUGUUUCCAGGGGGGGUGGCUGAGAGGGGGUUACCUCCUGCAGG